Molecule: ribosomal RNA, 497 nt
Filed under: uncultured bacterium
Lineage: Bacteria
Description: partial 16S ribosomal RNA
Rfam family: Bacterial small subunit ribosomal RNA
Source: RNAcentral
GAUGAACGCUGGCGGCGUGCCUAAUACAUGCAAGUCGAGCGAACAGACGAGGAGCUUGCUCCUCUGAUGUUAGCGGCGGACGGGUGAGUAACACGUGGAUAACCUACCUAUAAGACUGGGAUAACUUCGGGAAACCGGAGCUAAUACCGGAUAAUAUAUUGAACCGCAUGGUUCAAUAGUGAAAGACGGUUUUGCUGUCACUUAUAGAUGGAUCCGCGCCGCAUUAGCUAGUUGGUAAGGUAACGGCUUACCAAGGCAACGAUGCGUAGCCGACCUGAGAGGGUGAUCGGCCACACUGGAACUGAGACACGGUCCAGACUCCUACGGGAGGCAGCAGCAGGGAAUCUUCCGCAAUGGGCGAAAGCCUGACGGAGCAACGCCGCGUGAGUGAUGAAGGUCUUCGGAUCGUAAAACUCUGUUAUUAGGGAAGAACAAAUGUGUAAGUAACUAUGCACGUCUUGACGGUACCUAAUCAGAAAGCCACGGCUAACUACGUG